CUAUGGUGAAUUGAGCAGCUAUGAACAUUGAUGUGGCUGUAUCUCUGUAGUAUGCUGAUUUUAAGUCCUUUGGGUAUAGGCCAAGGAGUGGGAAGCUGGGUCAAAUGGUGGUUGGUAGUAACAUUUUUGAAAGACCAUUUAAGAAGUGAAGAUAGUGAAAUUGCACCUUAUAUAUUGUAUAAACUGCGAAGUGUUCAUUGUAAGAGCAUCUCACUGAAGGACACACAUUAUCAGACAUUUGUCCUGUUCUUCCUUUUACUACCUGUAGAUUUGAGUCACUUUUAUUUACAUGUUAUUUAGAUGUUAUUUUGGAAAUUUAGGAAAUUUCAUAAAGGCAUUAUCAUCAGAAGAACUGUUUUCACAUGCUAUACCUAAUUAUAUUUAGAAUAUAGAUUAUAUCCCUUUUUUAUAAACUGAGUCUUAGAUGUUUGUAUCAACAUGUAACGGCCAGGUUAAAGCCAUUUUUACAUUGCCACACAGACAUCAGGAACUGAACUGAAAGUAAGGGAAUGGAAUUAUUUAUAUUUGAUUGGCUAAGUGGCUAAUUGCUGAUGAUUAUGAUUCAGUGUACUAGAAAAUUUUAAAUCAGUGUGGUUUGUCAUACUGAAAUUUGGGGUUAUGACCACUUUACAGAUUUAACUCAGAUUAUAUUACUACCCACUACACUUUAGUAAUUAAGAGUCAUACUUCAGAAUAAAAUUAAACUCUGCUAUUAUUUACUGUUUCACUUAUCUGAAAAGGAAUGCUAAAGAAUAAGUAGUAGGAAUUGUAUUUUUCUCUCAUUAAGUACCUGUAAUUUCAGCAGGGCAUGGUGGCACACGCUUGUAAUCCCAAUGGCUUAGGAAGCUGAGCCAGAAGGAUCACAAGUUGGAGGCCCUCAGAAACUUAGUGAGACCCUAUCUCAAAAAAAAUUUUUAAAGGGCUGGGGAUGUGUUUCCCUGGGUUCAAACCCUGGUACCAAAAAAAAAAAAAAAAAAAAAUCCAUAAUUUCUAGAUGUGUAUUUAAUAUGCUCAUUUACUCCUGGCACAUAAACCUGUGUCAGUCCCCUGAGUACCUUUCAUACCUUGUAGUUGGCCUUUGCUCUUCCAUUUUGCCUGCCUCUUAGUCCUGCCACAUCAAUAUAACCUCACUGUUGUUUGUUCUGACAAAUGUUCUAAUAUAACCAUAUUGUUAGAAUAUACCUAGACUUCAUUCAAAAAUCUCAUGCUACAACUUUGCCUUAAAUUAAAGAGCAGAAAAAAAGAAAAUAAAAGGAAAAGAAGAAAGAUGUAAGGCAUCUCAUUGUCUGGAACUGCCCUGGUUUCUCAGAUUCUGGCAAGUCCCUAGCAUCUUUCCAUUGCCUUCAAAUUCUUGCAGAGAAAUGAAACAUCAAGCUCAC
Molecule: long non-coding RNA, 1379 nt
Organism: Sciurus carolinensis (gray squirrel)
Lineage: Eukaryota; Metazoa; Chordata; Mammalia; Rodentia; Sciuridae
Exons: 3
Source: RefSeq, a predicted model, not a curated record